UUUUGGACAAUGGGCGAAAGCCUGAUCCAGCAAUGCCGCGUGUGUGAAGAAGGCCUUCGGGUUGUAAAGCACUUUUGUCCGGAAAGAAAUCCUUGGCUCUAAUACAGUCGGGGGAUGACGGUACCGGAAGAAUAAGCACCGGCUAACUACGUGCCAGCAGCCGCGGUAAUACGUAGGGUGCGAGCGUUAAUCGGAAUUACUGGGCGUAAAGCGUGCGCAGGCGGUUUGCUAAGACCGAUGUGAAAUCCCCGGGCUCAACCUGGGAACUGCAUUGGUGACUGGCAGGCUAGAGUAUGGCAGAGGGGGGUAGAAUUCCACGUGUAGCAGUGAAAUGCGUAGAGAUGUGGAGGAAUACCGAUGGCGAAGGCAGCCCCCUGGCCAAUACUGACGCUCAUGCACGAAAGCGUGGGGAGCAAACAGGAUUAGAUACCCUGGUAGUCCACGCCCUAAACGAUGUCAACUAAUUGUUGGGGAUUCAUUUCCUUAGUAACGUAGCUAACGCGUGAAGUUGACCGCCUGGGGAGUACGGUCGCAAGAUUAAAACUCAAAGGAAUUGACGGGGACCCGCACAAGCGGUGGAUGAUGUGGAUUAAUUCGAUGCAACGCGAAAAACCUUACCUACCCUUGACAUGGUCGGAAUCCCGCUGAGAGGUGGGAGUGCUCGAAAGAGAACCGGCGCACAGGUGCUGCAUGGCUGUCGUCAGCUCGUGUCGUGAGAUGUUGGGUUAAGUCCCGCAACGAGCGCAACCCUUGUCCUUAGUUGCUACGCAAGAGCACUCUAAGGAGACUGCCGGUGACAAACCGGAGGAAGGUGGGGAUGACGUCAAGUCCUCAUGGCCCUUAUGGGUAGGGCUUCACACGUCAUACAAUGGUCGGAACAGAGGGUUGCCAACCCGCGAGGGGGAGCUAAUCCCAGAAAGCCGAUCGUAGUCCGGAUUGCACUCUGCAACUCGAGUGCAUGAAGCUGGCUCGCUAGUAAUCGCGGAUCAGCAUGCCGCGGUGAAGAAUCCCAUGCCUUGUACACACCGC
RNAcentral lists this ribosomal RNA (1029 nucleotides) under uncultured Burkholderia sp. RNAcentral describes it as "bacterial SSU rRNA". It matches the Rfam family "Bacterial small subunit ribosomal RNA", at positions 362 to 1393 of the family's 1533-position model. Lineage: Bacteria; Pseudomonadati; Pseudomonadota; Betaproteobacteria; Burkholderiales; Burkholderiaceae. The record is from RNAcentral.